AUUGAACGCUGGCGGCAUGCCUUACACAUGCAAGUCGAACGGCAGCACGGGGGCAACCCUGGUGGCGAGUGGCGAACGGGUGAGUAAUACAUCGGAACGUGCCCCGUAGCGGGGGACGAACCAGUCGAAAGACUGGCUAAUACCGCAUACGCUCCACGGAGGAAAGCAGGGGAGUCGCAAGACCUUGCACUAUGGGAGCGGCCGAUGCCCGAUUAGCUAGUUGGGAGGUAAGGCUCACCAAGGCAACGAUCGGUAGCUGGUCUGAGAGGACGACCAGCCACACUGGGACUGAGACACGGCCC
RNAcentral lists this ribosomal RNA (302 nucleotides) under uncultured bacterium. RNAcentral describes it as "bacterial SSU rRNA". It matches the Rfam family "Bacterial small subunit ribosomal RNA", at positions 29 to 332 of the family's 1533-position model. The record is from RNAcentral.